AAAACCCAAAACUUCAAAUGUAAAUAAAAGGAUGUCCAGUUCACCAGAAUAAAAUUAAACUUUCAGAACGGGUGGCCACUCCGAAUUCCCUCACAGCUCCAAGCCCACUAUGGUUGGGGAUUUCCUGCGUGGAUGAAAAUAAAAGGGGUGAGUUUGGGGAAACUCAGUGUGUAAGAAAAACUCAUUCAAAGCCCAAGUCAGCUCAAGCCUAUUGGGCCUAAGCCCAUUCAGGUAACAGUGGUACUGGGCCAGAGCCCUUUUCAGAUUACAAUAAACUGGGCCUUAGCCCCUUAUUCAGA
RNAcentral lists this long non-coding RNA (299 nucleotides) under Gossypium barbadense (sea-island cotton). RNAcentral's name for it is "long non-coding RNA (GBAR_LNC007493)". The record is from RNAcentral. Lineage: Eukaryota; Viridiplantae; Streptophyta; Magnoliopsida; Malvales; Malvaceae.